GAUGAACGCUAGCUAUAGGCUUAACACAUGCAAGUCGAGGGGAAACGGGCAUGAGAUGCUUGCAUCUUAUGGACGUCGACCGGCGUACGGGUGAGUAACGCGUAUCCAACCUGCCCGCGAGUAGGGGAUAGCCCGGAGAAAUCCGGCCUAAUACCGCGUAUUCUCAAGUUGCUGCAGGCAGUUUGAGGAAAGAUUUAUUGCUCAGAGAUAGGCAUGCGUUCCAUUAGGUAGUUGGUGAGGUAACGGCUCACCAAGCCGACGAUGGAUAGGGGAGCUGAGAGGCUGACCCCCCACACUGGGACUGAGACACGGCCCAG
RNAcentral lists this ribosomal RNA (317 nucleotides) under uncultured bacterium. RNAcentral's name for it is "bacterial SSU rRNA". It matches the Rfam family "Bacterial small subunit ribosomal RNA", at positions 28 to 334 of the family's 1533-position model. The record is from RNAcentral.